AAGACUAACUACUGCGAAAGCAUUCCACAAGGAUGUUUUCAUUAAUCAAGAACGAAAGUUAGGGGAUCGAAGACGAUCAGAUACCGUCGUAGUCUUAACCAUAAACUAUGCCGACUAGGGAUCAGUGGAUGUUCAAUUAUAUUACGACUCCAUUGGCACCUUAUGGAGAAAUCAUAAGUCUUUGGGUUCCGGGGGGAGUAUGGUCGCAAGGCUGAAACUUAAAGGAAUUGACGGAAGGGCACCACCAGGAGUGGAGCCUGCGGCUUAAUUUGACUCAACACGGGGAAAC
Molecule: ribosomal RNA, 289 nt
Filed under: uncultured fungus
Lineage: Eukaryota; Fungi
Description: partial 18S ribosomal RNA
Rfam family: Eukaryotic small subunit ribosomal RNA
Source: RNAcentral